RNAcentral lists this long non-coding RNA (1990 nucleotides) under Homo sapiens (human). RNAcentral describes it as "HSALNT0046506". Lineage: Eukaryota; Metazoa; Chordata; Mammalia; Primates; Hominidae. The record is from RNAcentral.
UCUUCCGGAGAGACUGGCCCGAGUCCUGGACUUGACUCGCAGCCCCGCGCCGCCUGCGGCGGGAAGGGGGCGGCUCCCGCCCCAGGCGGAUCCGGGUGCGCCCCGCGCGGCUGCGCUCGCGCUCCUCCUCGAAGUCACUGGGUCCCGCAGCCCAGGGGGCGGAGGGCAAAGGAUCUCAUGUCGCUGCUGCCGCCACCCCCGAUUCGCAAUGUUUCUGCUUCCCUCCACUCUGUCCCGGGUUCCAGGGCCCUGUCUCUAGGGGCGCCCUGGGUCUUCCAGGAGUGAUCCAGAAGUUUCUUCCUGUCCUGCGUGCGCUGACCAUCGGCCCCGAGGACAGCGAUAAGAUGGCUAAAGGCUCCCGAGGCCAGUGCACUCCCAGAGCCUUGAAGACAGCAGAAGUCCUCUAAGCCCUGUGUGGUGAGAGAGGAUUUCCAGAGGAGUCAUCAGAACUGAGCGUGAAGAAGGGCUGUGUGUGACCCAAUGGAGGAUGCUGAAGAGGGCAUUCGAAGCAGAGAAGAACAUGUGCAAAGCAGGAGACGGGCAGAACAGGAGGGAUUCUAAAACAGCAGGUAACAUUGGAACAUACAGGUGGCAGGUAGGGGAGAAUUUGGAGACUUUUGAAAAGAAUGUGAAAUUGGAGAGUGGGGCUCAGGUAAGUGCUGAAAACAGAUUUGGGAAUAGUUCCCAUACAGAUGGAAGAAGAGACUGCGAAGAAACUCAAUGUUUAUGGGAAUAUGAAUGAUUUCUUCAUAGGAUUCAUACACAGACAUCCAAUAUUUCUGAGCAUGGCAUAAUCCUAUUGUAUACCUCCUUCUGAUAUCUGGAAUACAACCAAUGUAUUCACAUAAUGAUCAUAAGCUAUGUCUACUAACUCUCAUGUAUCAUACCCAGUUGGUUUCUAUUCUAGAACUAUGAGGUCAGUACUUGUGAAAUGUAUAUUGAGGUCUACUAUGAAAUUUGCUUUUAUUCUCUCCACAAACAGAGCUUUUAUGUUUGUGCAAUAAAAGUUCAAGAGAUACAUAUACAUCUGGUUAAAUACUUACUGAGACAUCAAAUAUAAUGUUUAUUAGUUGAAUAUAAUGCACAUAAAUCACAUUUCCAAUAAAAUAUACAUAUGCUUUGGAAAUUAAAGAGACUAUUUUAGCAAUUAUAUAGUGAACUCUUGCUGACCUAACUUGCAAAAUAUUUAGAUAAAAUUAAGUUAUUGUCUGAUUCAUCCAUGUCUAAAAUGAUUUUACCCACAUUAAAAUAAAUCAAUGAGAUCUUUAUAAAAGGUUAUAGAUAGUACCACAAACCUAAUACCAAAAUAACCACUAAUAUAAUCUACUCUGAACCAUCCCUUAGUGAUCCGGAUGUUGCUAUUUUUACUAGGAUACCAGGUUAAACUAGACAUCUGAAAAAGACAUUCUAAUGAGAAAUUCAAAUAGCUCUUGCUACCCCUGGAAAUAUAAGAAUACUCCACCGAAGGACAUAUCCUUUCAUUUUAGGCAGUCCCCAAAGAGAGGUGCUGGUGACUAACUUAAUGACUGGGAAGAUAUUUAUGCUGAGUAUGUCUCAGGAUAUUAUAACAAUAUAUUACAGGAGAAAAGGUCUAUCAAAGUCAAUUCUACCACUUACAUUUUGAAGAAUUUAGACAUUACUAUUUAGAAUUCAUAUUUUAUUUUGUUUUCAAUAAACAAGUACUCUACUAGCCUCUGGACAUAUAACCACUACAAUAUAAUAUUUUAGUAAGGUAUAAACAGAAGUGUUUUCUGAAAAACAAAAUAGGUCAAAUCGCUGAAAGAACUAACUUGGGUUUUAAGAAGAGUUUAAUUUUCCAGGUGCUAUAACUGGAGACCUAUUGAAAUACAGUUUUACUUUCCAUAGGGUUAUUAAUGAAGGGGUAAGGCCCCAGAGACAGGGUGAGUAUCAGUAAAAAGGGCUGAAAGGACAUCAGCAUAGAGGUUCAUAGCUCCACACUACAUGCUGGGAAGGAAAAGGUGAACAGCAG